AUACCUAGCUCGGCCUUUUGGCUAAGAUCAAGUAUAGUAUCUGUUUUUAUCAAUUAAUAUCUGAAAUAUGAGUCAUUUGCUUACACGAUAUUAAAUUUAUUUUUUUUUUGAGGAGAAGACCCAUCAAAGUAGAGCUUGCUACUUGAGUCCAAUCUUUUACUUUGUAUGCAUUGGUAAGUAUUGGGGCAUUACUA
Small nuclear RNA from Salvia splendens (bonfire salvia), 194 nucleotides. RefSeq annotates it as U2 spliceosomal RNA. NCBI's taxonomy places the organism in Eukaryota, Viridiplantae, Streptophyta, Magnoliopsida, Lamiales, Lamiaceae. The transcript has a single exon. The record is from RefSeq and is a predicted model, not a curated record.